UGACUUUCUCAGCCGACGCUUAUCUAACCUGCAACAACAUUUACAGGUGAGUUAAUUUUGUAAUUUUGUAGAUUUUACAGUUCCCGAUAAAAAUAUAUUUAUUCAGUAAAAGUUGUAUUGCUCAUUAUUAAUGAUAGUUUUAGUUUGAAAAUCUAUGAGAAAAUAGCACUUUAAAACGUUUAAACUUUUCACAACAUAGUUCACUUCAUUUUGUAGUAACGAUCAAAAUUACUGAACUACAGCUAUACAUGUACAUGUACAUUAUCUUAUUUGCAUUAUAAUUUCACGGCGUAAUUUUGUUGUGCUUUGUUGAUUUUAUCAGUCCGUUAGUUCUUGAUCUCUAUACUUAGCUUGAUGUGUAAUAUUGUGGUUGUGACUGAAUUAAUGUAUUUCUUUUUCAAAUUUGUUGAAAAAAUGUAUAUGUUGAAAUAAAUGUAUAUGUUAAAAUAAAUGAUGCAUUUACAGCUAUAACUUCAUAAAACUGAACCGAGAAACUGUCUUAUAUUUGCACCAAAACGUAACUCGGGUGUAAACGUAGUCAUUUGUUUUGGAAUUUUACUGGAUAUAAAGCAUUUUCCAUUUUCCAUAUUCUCCUCUAUUUUUAUCUUACAAAAUAUUGUCCAAUAAAAUCAAAUUGGAGUGGACCUGAUAUUAUACUCUUUCUUAUCUUGCUACACAUCUAUAAUUUAUUUAUUUAUUUUGGUUAUCAAUUAAAAGAUCUUAUAUACUUCAAAUUGUUUAAGUUAUCUAAUCUAUAUUUCCUCACAUCUAUACAAUCUUAAAACAACAUAAAACUCUUAUAGAUAGGAGAAAGAACCAAAUAAUUAAAUACAAAAUUAAUACGUACAUAAUUAAAAUUAUUUGUUUUAAGGACGUUUCAUUAUGGUUGGACGUUCAAAGCAAAUGGAAGAUGGAUCAGAUUCAAAAUGAUAACUGCACUGAAUUGGAAAUUAAAAGUGCAAUUUUUGAAUGAAAGCACAACGGCCAAUUACAUUAACAUAGAUAAAAAAACACACACACAGAAAGCAACAAAAUAAGCAGUAGCUGUUAAUGCCUAUGAAGAAUGGAGGAAAUCAAAAGUAAGUGUUACAUUUUACAAGACUUGAAAGGUUGAACGGUUCAUGAUAAAACAGCAGUUUAAGAAAAUUUGUAGAAUAUUGAAAUAAAAAUGGACAGAAAUAAUCUGCAAUGUAACUCUGUAUUUUUAUUAAGGAAUGUGGACACAAUAAAUAUUCUAACCUUAACUUGUUAAACGCAUAUUUGAUAGCCAAGGGUUAUGAUCCACUUCCCUCCUCUCCACCCUUGGUUGAUUGAGAUAGAAUUUCGGAAACAUAAUGUAAUGCUUUUCAUUGGUUGCAGUCGAAACUCGCAGUGUAAAUGCAGAAAGUGUACAUGUAGGUAAACAAUUGCCACGUACUUAUUGUGCAACAAGUCUUUACAUCCCUUAAAAUACGACCAAAUUUAGUGACAAUUUGAAUAUUUUUAAUCGAUUUAUAGAAUUUUGUAUGUAUUUUCUAGCACAAAUGCAUGAAUGUCAAAGUAUAUUUUAGUUUCCUCCUUUACCAAGUGUGUAGAAUCUAGACGCUACCGUGGUUUUACCUCCAAAUUGAAGAGUUCAGGUGCUACCAUUGGUCAAGAAUAAUGUAUUCGGAAUGUGCGUGACGUUAAUCUACCGGUAGAUGGCACAACAUUGUUAUCACAUAUGUUGACUUAAUCUGCGAAGGGUGGAGAGGAGGGAAGUGGGUCGUAACCCUUGGCUAACGAAGAUGGUUAAACGAGGCCUGGGAUGUUAAAAAGUUCUGUUAAGUUUUACUACAUACUCUCGAUACUGUUUACUUAUAUAUAAGGAACACAUCUGCAUAUAUCAAACCAAAGGUUCCAAGGAGCCUGUGUCGCUCACCUGAUAUUUCUAUUUACUAUUGAUGCAUGAAAUAUUGCAACCAAUAUACUUUUACUUUAGUUUCACAGAAAUAUGCCAACAACUGCGUUUUCCCACUAUGUUUUUGUUUAGCCAUGUCGGUCAUGUUGGUUGGCAGACAGGGUCAAUCGACACAUAUUUUUAAACUACAUACGCUAAUGCUUAUUUGUGGCUUUGGUUAAAUUUGUCUCAGUUGUUACAGAAGAAGACUCUUUUAAAAGAUAACAAAAAUUUAUGAAAAAUUGUUAGGGGGUUUGACAAAUUUUACUUUAGAGGACAAUAACUCCAUCUGGGCUCAAUUGACCAUUUUGUAGAUCUUAUUUGUAUAUCUGACUUUGAUGAAAAUAAUUGCUGUUUACACAUGUUACAGUUUAUCUCUAUCUAUAAUUAUAUUCAAGAUAAUAACUAAAAUCUGCAAAAUGUCCUUAAAUUUACCAAUUCAGGAGCAGUAACCCGCUGAAUCCGAUUUGCUCUGAAUGCUUUGGUUUCAGAGAUAUAAGCCGAAAUCUACAUUUUCCCCAUGUGUUCUAUUUUUAGCAAGGGCGGCCAUCUUGGUUGGCAGUCCGGAUCAACAGACACAUUAUUCAAAGAACAUACCCCAUUGAUAAUCGUGAACAAGUUUGGUUCAGUUUGGGCCAGUAGUUAAAGAGUUGAAGAUUUUUGUAAAAACUAAACUAAGGAUGAUGAACGACGACGGACGACGGACGCCAAGAGAUGAAAAAAGCUCGCCUGCAAUUCUAGCUCCGAUCUACAUACUACUCUACUGAUUGAGUGAAGGAAAAUAGUUCGCAACGUAAAGACUCACUGUAAGGAGUUUGUAGUCACAUUUAAUAAUAGGUAAGACGGGUUGAGCUGUUUGUUCUUCAAGUAUAAUACUUUUGAAUAAUAUUAAUUUUUUUUUAGUUUGUAUGACAAUGAUAGAUAAAUUUGUUCUUACAUUUGUCGUAUGUAGCCGUAUGUUGUUUUAAUUGAUCACAAAAGACUAAGUAAAAUCUUCGGUUGUAAUAAAUUAACUGAAUUACAUUAUAUCAAUUGAUAACAAAUUCCGGAUCUUCGAGAUUUGUGUUUGAAUAACAUAUACACUUAUUUAUCAUAUAUUUAGUACAAAAUACAGCUAUUUUGUAUAUCUAAUAAAGGUUGUUUUUCCAGUCUGUAUCACCUACCCUGUAUCGCAUACCCCGUAUCGCAUAGCUAAACCCGUAUCGCAUACCCCGUAUCGCAUGGUAAAACCCGUAUCAUACCUUUUUUUUUUUUUACAUAAAGUUUUUUUUUUUUUUGCUUAGAAAAAAUUUCCUCAAAAUAGGUCAUUUUUUAAUGACGUCAUUGUGGUAUGUACACGUCACGAACGUCAAGUUUUCAUAUUGUAUGUGACGUCACGAACAUCAAGUUUGCAUAUUUUUGGACACUAAAUCACUAUAAAAAAAUCAAAACACUCAAAUAUACAAUAAUAAACAAAAUUUAAAAAGCAGCAGGCAAAUGGUAAGGACCUAGGUGCUUUGUAUAAGCAGUUAUUUUAAGGCUUUGAACCAAGACAAAAGCAGAACUGAAGGUAACCCAGUGCUAAAUCUAUCGGAUCAGAAACAUUCAUAUAAUAUAAUACUCUUCUGUUGAAAAUAUGAUAAAGCGUUUAAUACAUGGCAAAAUCCGUAUCACAUGCCGUAUCACCCUCGACCAAUAUCAUCCCUCGGGCCUAAAGGCCCUUGGGAUGAUAUUGAUGUCUCGGGAUGAUACGACAUAUGAUACGGAUUUUGCCAUGUAUUAUCUUCUAUUAUAUUAAACUACAUCAGACACAAACUGAAACUCUUAUCGCAAUAGAAUCAAUCACAUUAGCUGUAUAAUAGUAACGUUUUGAUCAAACAUGUUUUCUUUGAGUCGUUCUGAAUAUAGAUAAUAAUUAACUAAAAUCAAAAUACAUUAUUAACCAACUAAGUACAUUAUUGCCAAAAAUGACUGGUUAUUAAAAAUAACAUAUUUUCUGUAAUGGCCCUGUUUUUCUGUAAUGGCCCUGUAUUUAUGCCCGGUUUGUCUGUAUAAAGCACAAUUAGAGUUUUUAAUAAAGUUAACAAAAUUAAGUUGUAAAGAGUAUAAUAUUUUUUUGUAUUUUAUUUAAUUUAGUAACCAGCAACCAACAUUAAAGAACCAUAUAUAGGGAUCACUGUUUAUCCUGUUUUUCAACAUAUAACUUCUUCCAACUUAAUAUCUUAGAUAUCUGGUAUAUUAACACAUUACACUUUUAUUCAGUUGGUUAAUAAAUGUAUUUAGAAAUGGGUGUUUUAUAAUGGCUCUGUUAUAUGUCCUCGGUCAGGAAUAAUGGCCUCGGAUGUCUGUAAUGACCCUCGGCGUUGAGUCGAGCCAUUACAGACUUCCUCGGCCAUUAUUACAGACCUUGGACAUAUAACAGGGCCAUUAUAAAAACACCCAUUCAUUGAUUUUAUAAUACUAUUUAAUAGUACAUAUACUGUCCGGAGUCAAACAUGUCAAAAUUAAUCGGUCACAGUGAAGUGUCAAAUAAUCUAUAUACAGUCUAGUUAAUCUCUAACAAAAGAAGCCGACCCAUAUAAAAUAAACCCUAUUCAUGAAUUUAUCAUGUUGUAUACAAUUGAAAGAUCUGUAUUGUUUGAUUAAAUAUCAACUGAUGUUUAAAUUUAUAUAGAUUCUGAAAUGAACUAUAUUUUGUCGACCUCUCCAUAGACAUAUCUGUGUAAAUAAACGUGUUCGAAGAAGCAAAAUGGCAGGUACGUUCUAUCUAUAUUUGUAUUACUGUUCUAAAAGUUUUUAAACAAACAUAUAUAUAUGAAAAUAAUUUAUAGAAAACAAAAACUAAAAUCAAAAGCAUCAUAAGCAUAGUGCUUAACAAUUCACGUUAGUAACUAUAACGAAAUUCAGCUUUGUUUAUUUAUUAUUUCUCAUUGAUCCAAAAUAAUUAUGCUGUACAGAGGCGGAUUUAGGGGGGGGGGGGCAGGGGGUCCGGCCCCCCCCCUUUUUCAGAAAAUUUUUGGUUGGUUAUAUAGGGAAUCACUGAAGCGUGACAGAAUCGGGCCCCCUCUUAGGCAGUCAGUGGGCCCCCUCUUAUGAAAAUUUCUAGAUCCGCUACUGCUGUAUGAUGUCAAUGCAACAUUUGCAAUGAUGAUAAUGAAAACGAUGGAAUUCGAUAUCUCGAUAUCUCAGUAUUGACUUUAUUUGCACUAUAAAUAGAAAAUAAACCGGUUUGAAAAGAAUUUCAUUGAUGUAUGUAUCCAGGUAUAAGCCACACGUCAUCAACAAAAUGGCUGGUAAGUUAUAGUUAAUAACAAUGUUCUGAUCUUUAAUGUGAAUUUUAAAAGAGACAACACGAUACCGAAGGGACUACAAGACAACUGCAGAAUACAAAACACAACAAAGAAAGCAUGUUUCAUUAUAUUUAAUUUAAAACAUCAUAGAUGUGAUUAGUCGAUAUAACACAUAAGGUCAUUCAAGCGUUUUGAAAAUAAUUUCAAUUUGUAAAUAUAUACUUGUUUACUUCAACAGUUCAGGUGCUACAGUCAUUGAUUUGUUUUAUUCGAGUGUAGCUGAUGAAGCAUUUGAACAUGCUGAAGGCGAAUCGCGAGUACGGCGAACAAACUAUUUAAGCUUUGUAUCUGUGACGAGUUUUGUUUACACUAAGAAAUUGAUAUAGACUGGUGCAUAUUCUCAAGAGCUUCUGACACAUGAAAAAAGACUGAAUAACGUAAAUUUAGGUUAUUUAGUAUCGCAGUAUGUGUUCAUGUAUACAUAGAUUCGUCGGGAUGGGAUCUAUUUUAUAAAUUGUACCCGAAGUGUUGAUGCAUCGACAAACAUGACAGCUAUGGCAAAAAUAGAAUACAGUGGUCAAAUACAGUUUUCGGCUUAUAUCUCAAAAACUAAAGCUUUUAGAGCUAAUCUGACAAUGGCUUAAAUUGUUGCAAUUGGUUAUGAUUUAUCAGCCGUGAAAUACAGACGAAUUUCACAACCCAUUAUUAGAUUGCUGCCACGAAAUUGGUUGUUUAAAGGAAAUUUGGCAGUUUUUUGUUAUUAUCUUGAAUAUUAGUACAGAUAUAUAUAUAUAAACUGUUCAUUGCAAUAAUGUUCAACAAAGUAAGAUCUAUAAAAAAAAAUUGAUGUGUUCAAAAUUAUCAUAAUCCAUUAAGGAGUUAUUGCCCGUUUAAGACAAUUUUAAACGAUUUGUUCUUCAAGUUUGCUGACAUUCAAAAAUCUUCUCUUCUGAAACUACUUUGAAAAAUACCUUCAAUCUUUAUCUACAUUUACCUUGGGGAAUCUUGUUUAUCCAUUGUAUGCAAAGUGUUGAUCCGUCGUCAAACAUGGCCGCCAUGGCUAGAUCUAAAACAUAAGGCUAAUGCAGUUUUUGGUUUCUAUCACAAAAACUCAACUUUGAGAGCAAACCUGAAUAGGUAAAACCGUUCAAAAGGUCAAAAUCAAUCAGCCCUGGUUUUUUUUUCAAACAAACCGAACAACCCAACUGCUAUUCAAUUAGUUAUUUUAAGAAAUUGGUGCAGUGUUUUGUUAUUAUAUUGAAUAUUAUUGAAGAUAAAGAUAAACUGUAAACAGCCAAAAAUUUCAGCAAAGUAAGAUCUACAAAGUUGUCAAUUGACCCCUUAAGGAGUUAUUGCCUUGCAAGAAUACUCAAUAUUACAUUAAUAUACAUUGAAAGGCAACAAAUCAUCAUUGAUGAAGGAAUUAGGCAAAAAACAAUAGGUUAGGGAUUAACAUGAUUCGGACUCUUGAGAGCCUCUUGUUUAUCUUCUACAAGAAUGUAAAUUUGGGUGGGUUUUUUCCACUACACGUAUUGUUUUUACAUGGGAACAUUCUAUAUACCGGGUAUUGUGCAUAUUACGCGUUUAAGAGAUCUGUGUAGAUACAUGUAGCAUGUCGACAUACAUUCUAGAUUAUUUUAUAAUAUGCUGUUGGUGUGUUACUUUUUCCACAACAUUCAAUAUUGUAAUAAAAACUCAGGUGUACUUAGGGUGAACGUAGAUGCUAAAUACAUAAAAUCUUAGACUUUCAAAAGAAAACAAAAAUAUAAUUCAUUUAAAUGCACGUAUAUAUCAUGUAUGCAUAGCAUUAAUAUGUUGUUUAUACGUAUUCUUGUAGAUUUUCAAAGAAGGUAUGAUUUUAAACAUAACACGGCAAUAUAUAUUGCAAUUUGACAAACUUUAAAAUGAAAAUAAAAAUCUGAACGAAGGUAGAAUUAUAAAUGAUGUAAAUAGCACUUAAAUUAAAACACUUCUUUUUAAAAUUCAUUACCUGUGUACAAUUUUUAUUAUAUUUAAGAGCCCAAUCACAAUGUGUAAAUAUCUGUGUAAAUAUUUGUGUUGAUUUUAAAAGCAUUUAACCCAUAUAUACCCUUAUACAUAACGAAGGAAAAUACCUGUACAGAACAGGAAAGAACAAGCACUGAGUUUGAUAAUUUUGAAGUUAUCAAAUGAACGUGAUUAAAACACUUUAAAACUGUUUGCAAAGUUAUCUCCCUGUGUUGUCCUACACCACCUUUAUUAUAAGCUGUACAAGCUGCAAACCCACAAAAUGAUUAGAUAAAAUAAAACAUCAGAAAACAAGAAGAAGUGAUCAACAGAUCUGAAAAUUAGCUCGUCAUAGAUACCUGGAAUUAAAUUUUGAAUUUGCACCAGACUCGAGUUUCGUCCACAAAUACUCACAAGUGACGCGCGCAUCUAAACAAAGUAAAAGAGGGAAAAAAAACCAUCCACAAAUUACAAGUCACCACUGCCAAACGUGUCAAAAAGAUGUAGACCAAAUGUGAACAAAUUAUGUACAGUUGUUGCAGAAAAUCACAAACGUAUAGAGACCCGUAUUAUAUUUGCUGCGUCACAAAUCACAGGGGAUAAGAAACACAAAUUAAAUGAUACUAUUUUUAUAUGAGCUUGCGCAGGAGCUCUAUUUUCAGAAACUCCUACGCGAUUUUUAUUGUCAUAACUAAUUAAUCAAGUUCAUUUACAUAAUUGUAUAUGCCGUCACAAUGAUAACAUGAACAUUGUAGCUAACCUAGACAGUAGAGUAAAGGCGCACAAGUUGUCAAAUUCAUAAUCAAAAACUUGAGGAGUGUUUAUUAAGUUGAAGUCAUCCAGUAAUGAUUGUUCUCUCUUUUGGUCUGCUUUAACCUCAAGGAUCAAUUUUUUUCCCGUCAGAUAAAAAAAACCAAUUGUGUUGUUAUGGUUUCUAUAAGUAGUAUCAAAAGUACCAGGAUUAUAAUUUAGUACGCCAGAAGCGCGUUUCGUCUACAUAAGUCUCAUCAGUGACGCUCAAAUCGAAAUAUCUAUAAAGCCAAACAAAUACAAAGUUGAAGAGCAUUGAGGAUCCAUAAGUAAUUGUCAAUUAUGAUUUUUAAGAUUGUCUGAUAACCUCUUCCUAAUUGUUUCAAUAUUGCACUAUUCAUGCUAUUGUCAUUCCUUUAACUAUCACAAUAUAGUAUGAAAAACAAGAAUAUACUGCAAAGUAAACAACAAUACUUUGUACAACAAGCAUUUUAUUCACAAAUAAUACAGUCGCCAUUAUCAAGUUCGUAAAAAGAAAUCAGUUGUGACUUUUAAGAGCAGUGACUAUCUAAAUGUCAAAUUACCGUACUGGAAACACAAAGGGAAAAAAGCAACAAAACAAAAAUGUAAUUGAAUAUAAUUUUCAACUUUAAUUAUAAAUAUUUGCCUCCGCUUGACCGACAUAAAUGUGCAAGUUAUAAUCUUUUUAUUUCAAACUAAAUAUCAUUUCAGAACCAGCAACACAC
RNAcentral lists this long non-coding RNA (8669 nucleotides) under Mytilus galloprovincialis (Mediterranean mussel). Lineage: Eukaryota; Metazoa; Mollusca; Bivalvia; Mytilida; Mytilidae. The record is from RNAcentral.